RNAcentral lists this ribosomal RNA (1427 nucleotides) under Salmonella enterica subsp. enterica serovar Newport. RNAcentral's name for it is "bacterial LSU rRNA". It matches the Rfam family "Bacterial large subunit ribosomal RNA", at positions 1 to 1298 of the family's 2925-position model. The record is from RNAcentral. Lineage: Bacteria; Pseudomonadati; Pseudomonadota; Gammaproteobacteria; Enterobacterales; Enterobacteriaceae.
GGGUUGUGAGGUUAAGCGACUAAGCGUACACGGUGGAUGCCCUGGCAGUCAGAGGCGAUGAAGGGCGUGCUAAUCUGCGAUAAGCGCCGGUAAGGUGAUAUGAACCGUUAUAACCGGCGAUACCCGAAUGGGGAAACCCAGUGUGACUCGUCACACUAUCAUUAACUGAAUCCAUAGGUUAAUGAGGCGAACCGGGGGAACUGAAACAUCUAAGUACCCCGAGGAAAAGAAAUCAACCGAGAUUCCCCCAGUAGCGGCGAGCGAACGGGGAGGAGCCCAGAGCCUGAAUCAGCAUGUGUGUUAGUGGAAGCGUCUGGAAAGGCGCGCGAUACAGGGUGACAGCCCCGUACACAAAAGCGCAUGUGCUGUGAGCUCGAUGAGUAGGGCGGGACACGUGGUAUCCUGUCUGAAUAUGGGGGGACCAUCCUCCAAGGCUAAAUACUCCUGACUGACCGAUAGUGAACCAGUACCGUGAGGGAAAGGCGAAAAGAACCCCGGCGAGGGGAGUGAAAAAGAACCUGAAACCGUGUACGUACAAGCAGUGGGAGCACAGGUUUACCUGUGUGACUGCGUACCUUUUGUAUAAUGGGUCAGCGACUUAUAUUCUGUAGCAAGGUUAACCGAAUAGGGGAGCCGGAGGGAAACCGAGUCUUAAUUGGGCGUUAAGUUGCAGGGUAUAGACCCGAAACCCGGUGAUCUAGCCAUGGGCAGGUUGAAGGUUGGGUAACACUAACUGGAGGACCGAACCGACUAAUGUUGAAAAAUUAGCGGAUGACCUGUGGCUGGGGGUGAAAGGCCAAUCAAACCGGGAGAUAGCUGGUUCUCCCCGAAAGCUAUUUAGGUAGCGCCUCGUGAAUUCAUCUCCGGGGGUAGAGCACUGUUUCGGCUAGGGGGCCAUCCCGGCUUACCAACCCGAUGCAAACUGCGAAUACCGGAGAAUGUUAUCACGGGAGACACACGGCGGGUGCUAACGUCCGUCGUGAAGAGGGAAACAACCCAGACCGCCAGCUAAGGUCCCAAAGUCAUGGUUAAGUGGGAAACGAUGUGGGAAGGCCCAGACAGCCAGGAUGUUGGCUUAGAAGCAGCCAUCAUUUAAAGAAAGCGUAAUAGCUCACUGGUCGAGUCGGCCUGCGCGGAAGAUGUAACGGGGCUAAACCAUGCACCGAAGCUGCGGCAGCGAACAAUAGCUCACUGGUCGAGUCGGCCUGCGCGGAAGAUGUAACGGGGCUAAACCAUGCACCGAAGCUGCGGCAGCGAACGUAUCACUUAAAGCGAUUCAGCGGGUUACGAUUGACGGAGCGAAGCGACGUCAAAGCGUAUACAAAGUCGAGUCGGUUUAAGGAUACGUUCGUUGGGUAGGGGAGCGUUCUGUAAGCCUGUGAAGGUGGUCUGUGAGGCAUGCUGGAGGUAUCAGAAGUGCGAAUGCU